AAAAGAAGAAGAAAAAG
This 17-nucleotide small RNA is filed under the name Arabidopsis thaliana (thale cress). RNAcentral describes it as "ATSL063700". Lineage: Eukaryota; Viridiplantae; Streptophyta; Magnoliopsida; Brassicales; Brassicaceae. The record is from RNAcentral.